This 253-nucleotide ribosomal RNA is filed under the name uncultured bacterium. RNAcentral describes it as "partial 16S ribosomal RNA". It matches the Rfam family "Bacterial small subunit ribosomal RNA", at positions 524 to 776 of the family's 1533-position model. The record is from RNAcentral.
GACGUAGGGUGCGAGCGUUGUCCGGAAUUAUUGGGCGUAAAGAGCUCGUAGGCGGCUUGUUGCGUCGGCUGUGAAAACCCGCGGCUCAACCGUGGGCUUGCAGCCGAUACGGGCAGGCUAGAGUUCGGUAGGGGAGACUGGAAUUCCUGGUGUAGCGGUGAAAUGCGCAGAUAUCAGGAGGAACACCGGUGGCGAAGGCGGUUCUCUGGGCCUGUACUGACGCUGAGGAACGAAAGCGUGGGGAGCGAACAGG